CAACUACGAGUUGAACUGGGACUCAGUCUAUGUGCCUUCGACAUCAAAAAAUUACAAAGGUUCAACUACGAUUGAACAACAACUCAGGCUACGUGCCCACGCCCAAAAGUUCAACUACGAGUUGAACUAGGACUCAGGCCAAGUACCUUCGCCAUUAAGAAAUACAAAAGGUUCAACUACGGUUGAACAACAACUCAGGCUACGUGCUCUCGCCCAAAAGUUCAACUACGAGUUGAACUGGGACUCAGGCCAAGUGCCUUUGCCAUUAAUAAAUACAAAAGGUUUAACUCAACUCGGGCUACGUGCCCUCGCCCAAAAGUUCAACUAUGAGUUGAACUGGGACUCAGCCCAAGUGCCUUCGCCAUUAAGAAAUACAAAAGUUUCAACUACAGUUGAUCAACAACUCAGGCUACGUGCCCUCGCCCAAAAGUUUAACUACAAGUUGAACUGGGACUCAGGCCAAGUGCCUUCGCCAUUAAAAAAUACAAAAGGUUCAACUACGGUUGUACAACAACUCAGGCUACGUGCCCUCGCCCAAAAGUUCAACUACGAGUUGAACUGGGACUCAGGAAAAGUUCAACUACGGUUUAACGACAACUCAGGCUACGUGCCCUCGCCCAAAAAUUCAACUCGAGUUGAACUGGGACUCAGGCUAUGUGCCUUCAACAUCAAAAAUUACAAAGGGGUCAACUACGAUUGAACGGCAACUCAGGCUACGUGUCCUCGCCCAAAAGUUCAACUACGAGUUGAACUAGGACUCAGGCCAAGCGCCUUCGCCAUUAAGAAAUACAAAAGGUUCAACUACGG
RNAcentral lists this long non-coding RNA (807 nucleotides) under Nicotiana benthamiana. RNAcentral's name for it is "long non-coding RNA (NBEN_LNC004750)". The record is from RNAcentral. Lineage: Eukaryota; Viridiplantae; Streptophyta; Magnoliopsida; Solanales; Solanaceae.